This 1164-nucleotide unclassified non-coding RNA is filed under the name Haliotis rufescens (red abalone). RNAcentral describes it as "organic solute transporter subunit alpha-like, transcript variant X3". The record is from RNAcentral. Lineage: Eukaryota; Metazoa; Mollusca; Gastropoda; Lepetellida; Haliotidae.
UGUAGGUUCAUGUGACGCGGAGAGCACUCGAGCAGAUCCCGAGUUUCUUUGUACAUCGAUGUCCAGUCUCCCUCGGAACUGUGGUGCAACUGUAUCAAGUUCUGAGACUUUAAACUCAAAUAUGGGAUCUGAAGCCCCAAACACUACUGUGGCACUCCCCUGUCCCGAUGAUGUUCCUUUCUCAGAGACCUACUUCGCCGAAAUGUCUACCGGGGAAGUGGCGGCACUUGCAGUUGGUGCAGUGGUUACUGUAGCUAAUGUCAUCCUGUUUCUGGAAAGCACCUGGUUUAUAGUCCAACACUUCUUCGAAAAGAAAACAAAGGUUCUGUCCAUAUGGAUGAUUUGCCUACCAACAGUGUUUGCAGUGACAGCCCUGAUAGCUGUGUGUAUACCGCGAUCCGCCUUGCUGUCGGAUCUGGUGGCGGCCAUCUACCUGUCCCGCUGUAUCCAGAUGUUCCUCUUUCUGCUGAUCCACUACCAUGGAGGGGAGCAAGCUCUCAUCGAUCACAUGUCAGGGGAGACAAUAAACCUGCGCAGCCCUCCCGUGGCUUGCUGCUGCGUCUGCUGUCCCAAGAUAGCUGUCAAUGAGAAGAACCUCUUCAGAAUCAAGAUGUCUGUUUUACAAUUUGCCAUAGCUAGACCUAUCUUGGUGUUUCUGGCUGCUGUGUUGUGGACUGAUGGCAAAUAUGUGAAGGGAAAGAUGAGGCCAAACCAGGCCUCCUUGUACAUAAGUGUGUUGACUGGUGUGUCGACACUUGUAGCCAUGUACGGCUUGAUCCUUGUAUUCAGAGCGUCCAGGAAACACCUAAAGGUGUUCAACAUUGUCCCAAAGUUCAUCUGCAUGCAGCUGGUGCUUGUCGUCAGUGGCCUGCAGGGUGUUGUCUUCAAUACUUUGGCUAACAACAAUCUUCCUCCUUGUACACAAGUGCUGUCUUCUGCUGCACGAGGCAAUGGUAAGUGUCCCAUCUGGUAAACAACAACCUUCCUUCCUGUACACCAAUACUAUCUUCUGCUGCACGAGGCGAUGUUUGGAACCAUCUGAUUAUCAUUGUGGAAAUGUUCUUGCUAGCGCUGCUUGCUCGGCGCUUUUAUCGCAGGAUAGAUGGAUCACUGAUCAUCGCAGAUGUUGACGUUAUGUGCCCAGAGGACAAAGACAAAGCACAG